GUUGAACGCUGGCGGCGUGCUUAACACAUGCAAGUCGAACGAUGAAGCCCAGCUUGCUGGGUGGAUUAGUGGCGAACGGGUGAGUAACACGUGAGUAACCUGCCCUUAACUCUGGGAUAAGCCUGGGAAACUGGGUCUAAUACCGGAUAGGAGCGUCCACCGCAUGGUGGGUGUUGGAAAGAUUUAUCGGUUUUGGAUGGACUCGCGGCCUAUCAGCUUGUUGGUGAGGUAAUGGCUCACCAAGGCGACGACGGGUAGCCGGCCUGAGAGGGUGACCGGCCACACUGGGACUGAGACACGGCCCAGACUCCUACGGGAGGCAGCAGUGGGGAAUAUUGCACAAUGGGCGCAAGCCUGAUGCAGCGACGCCGCGUGAGGGAUGACGGCCUUCGGGUUGUAAACCUCUUUCAGUAGGGAAGAAGCGAAAGUGACGGUACCUGCAGAAGAAGCACCGGCUAACUACGUG
RNAcentral lists this ribosomal RNA (466 nucleotides) under uncultured bacterium. RNAcentral's name for it is "partial 16S ribosomal RNA". It matches the Rfam family "Bacterial small subunit ribosomal RNA", at positions 28 to 507 of the family's 1533-position model. The record is from RNAcentral.